RNAcentral lists this ribosomal RNA (301 nucleotides) under uncultured bacterium. RNAcentral's name for it is "partial 16S ribosomal RNA". It matches the Rfam family "Bacterial small subunit ribosomal RNA", at positions 509 to 807 of the family's 1533-position model. The record is from RNAcentral.
CAGUCGCCACGGUAAUACAGAGGGUGCGAGCGUUAAUCGGAUUUACUGGGCGUAAAGCGUGCGUAGGCGGCUUUUUAAGUCGGAUGUGAAAUCCCUGAGCUUAACUUAGGAAUUGCAUUCGAUACUGGGAAGCUAGAGUAUUGGAGAGGAUGGUAGAAUUCCAGGUGUAGCGGUGAAAUGCGUAGAGAUCUGGAGGAAUACCGAUGGCGAAGGCAGCCCCCUGGGCCAAUACUGACGCUCAUGCACGAAAGCGUGGGGAGCAAACAGGAUUAGAUACCCCUGUAGUCCCUGUCUCUUAUAC